RNAcentral lists this ribosomal RNA (253 nucleotides) under uncultured bacterium. Its description in RNAcentral is "partial 16S ribosomal RNA". It matches the Rfam family "Bacterial small subunit ribosomal RNA", at positions 524 to 776 of the family's 1533-position model. The record is from RNAcentral.
UACAGAGGGUGCAAGCGUUAAUCGGAAUUACUGGGCGUAAAGGGUGCGUAGGUGGUUUAGUAAGUUAGGUGUGAAAGUCCUGGGCUUAACCUGGGGAUUGCGCCUAAUACUGCUAGGCUAGAGUACUGUAGAGGAAGGUGGAAUUUCCGGUGUAGCGGUGAAAUGCGUAGAUAUCGGAAGGAACAUCAGUGGCGAAGGCGACUUUCUGGACAGAUACUGACACUGAGGCACGAAAGCGUGGGGAGCAAACAGG